This 336-nucleotide unclassified non-coding RNA is filed under the name soil metagenome. Its description in RNAcentral is "partial contains 5.8S ribosomal RNA, internal transcribed spacer 2, and large subunit ribosomal RNA". The stretch from base 1 to 120 matches the Rfam family "5.8S ribosomal RNA", at positions 35 to 154 of the family's 154-position model. The record is from RNAcentral.
GAUGAAGAACGUAGCGAAAUGCGAUAAGUAGUGUGAAUUGCAGAAUUCAGUGAAUCAUCGAAUCUUUGAACGCACAUUGCGCCCCUUGGUAUUCCAUGGGGCAUGCCUGUUCUAGCGUCAUUUGUACCUUCAAGCUUUGCUUGGUGUUGGGUGUUUGUCUCGCCUUUGCGUGUAGACUCGCCUUAAAAUAAUUGGCAGCCGGCGUAUUGAUUUCGGAGCGCAGUACAUCUCGCGCUUUGCACUCAUAACGACAGCGUCCAAAAGUACAUUUUACACUCUUGACCUCGGAUCAGGUAGGGAUACCCGCUGAACUUAAGCAUAUCAAUAAGAGGAGGA